RNAcentral lists this ribosomal RNA (452 nucleotides) under uncultured bacterium. Its description in RNAcentral is "bacterial SSU rRNA". It matches the Rfam family "Bacterial small subunit ribosomal RNA", at positions 340 to 784 of the family's 1533-position model. The record is from RNAcentral.
UACGGGAGGCAGCAGUGGGGAAUAUUGCACAAUGGGCGCAAGCCUGAUGCAGCCAUGCCGCGUGUAUGAAGAAGGCCUUCGGGUUGUAAAGUACUUUCAGUCGUGAGGAAGGUGUUAAGGUUAAUAACCUUAGCAAUUGACGUUAGCGACAGAAGAAGCACCGGCUAACUCCGUGCCAGCAGCCGCGGUAAUACGGAGGGUGCGAGCGUUAAUCGGAAUUACUGGGCUAAAGGGCACGCAGGCGGUUAAUUAAGUUGGAUGUGAAAUCCCCGGGCUUAACCUGGGAAUGGCAUUCAAGACUGGUUAGCUAGAGUCUUGUAGAGGGGGUAGAAUUCCAUGUGUAGCGGUGAAAUGCGUAGAGAUGUGGAGGAAUACCGGGUGGCGAAGGCGGCCCCUGGGACAAGACUGACGCUCAUGUGCGAAAGCGUGGGGAGCGAAACAGGGAUUAGAUA